CGAAUCAGGUAGGAAUACCCGCUGAACUUAAGCAUAUCAAUAAACGGAGGAAAAGAAACCAACCGGGAUUACCUCAGUAACGGCGAGUGAAGCGGUAACAGCUCAAAUUUGAAAUCUGGCUCCUUUGGAGUCCGAGUUGUAAUUUGUAGAAGAUGCUUUGGGUUAUGGGUUCGGCCUAAGUUCCUUGGAACAGGACGUCAUAGAGGGUGAGAAUCCCGUAUGUGGCCGAGGCCCGCGCCUGUGUAAAGCUCUUUCAACGAGUCGAGUUGUUUGGGAAUGCAGCUCAAAAUGGGUGGUAAAUUUCAUCUAAAGCUAAAUAUGGGCCAGAGACCGAUAGCGCACAAGUAGAGUGAUCGAAAGAUGAAAAGCACUUUGGAAAGAGAGUUAAACAGUACGUGAAAUUGUUGAAAGGGAAGCGCUUGCACCCAGACUUGGGCGCUGCUGAUCACCUUGCGUUCUCCGCGAGUGCACUCGACAGCGCACAGGCCAGCAUCGGUUCGGGUGGCUGGAUAAAGGCCGUA
Molecule: ribosomal RNA, 521 nt
Filed under: Erysiphe cruciferarum
Lineage: Eukaryota; Fungi; Ascomycota; Leotiomycetes; Helotiales; Erysiphaceae
Description: partial large subunit ribosomal RNA
Rfam family: Eukaryotic large subunit ribosomal RNA
Source: RNAcentral